GUGGAAAUAAUUCAAAAUUUUCUCGAACCAUUCGUGAUUUUCAAAGUUUUGGAAAUGAUUCUAUUCGGGUCAUGAACAAAAGGGUUCGAGAUCUUGAAAAUUUUUUUCGAGCAAGUGGCCCGAUUUGAGGACAAAUCGUCUUCAAGAGGGAGGGUAUGAUGUGAUCCUGAUCGCAUCAUGUAAUGUCACAACCCAACGCCGUCGAGAUUGGCCUAAACACGAGGGUCCCAAGUGCAAGAUGAAGCUAAUUUUUAGCUCAUUUGAAUUUCUUUUCGUGUGGUUCAACUCAUUCGAG
This 295-nucleotide long non-coding RNA is filed under the name Gossypium barbadense (sea-island cotton). Its description in RNAcentral is "long non-coding RNA (GBAR_LNC002206)". Lineage: Eukaryota; Viridiplantae; Streptophyta; Magnoliopsida; Malvales; Malvaceae. The record is from RNAcentral.